CUCUCACCAGACUAUUCCCUUAAAGUGGGAGGUCAAGGGUUCGAGCAGUGGGGGAGGCGACCUAAUUCCCAGAGGAAGGAAUUGGGCCAAAUCCACUUGGGAAGAACGGGUUCAAGUCCCGCGAACCAAGGGGACAAAUCCUGCCUGGAACCCGUGAGGGUGAAGGGAUGUUAAGAGCUGCUCAUAGUGGCUGGGCCCAGAGGAAGGUCACGGGCUGUGCGCGGUAACAGUGCCGGGGAUCACGUCCGGGCUGUUACAU
RNAcentral lists this long non-coding RNA (259 nucleotides) under Manihot esculenta (cassava). RNAcentral's name for it is "long non-coding RNA (MESC_LNC010611)". Lineage: Eukaryota; Viridiplantae; Streptophyta; Magnoliopsida; Malpighiales; Euphorbiaceae. The record is from RNAcentral.